UCUGAAUAAAAGUAGUUAAGUUCUUCUUAACUCAAAGAAUUUGGCGGUUAAUGGAAUUUUCAGAGGGGCCUGUAUAUUAAUUGAUAAACCACGAUAGGUUUUACCUUUAUUGUUUAUUUGUAUAUCUCUAUGUCAGAGGAAUGUUUUUUAAAAAUUUAUUUUCUUUUAGAUUUAAUCUUAAAUUUUAGGUCAAGGUGCAGUUUUAAAUGGGUAUAUAUGGGUUACUAUAAUUUUUAUUAUUUAUUUUUAAUUCCUUUGAGGAAUUUUAUUUAAUAGGAUUUGAAAGUAAUUUUAAUUUAUUAAUUUUUUUGAAUUAU
Molecule: ribosomal RNA, 317 nt
Filed under: Enchophyllum sp. CPL-2004c
Lineage: Eukaryota; Metazoa; Arthropoda; Insecta; Hemiptera; Membracidae
Description: partial 12S small subunit ribosomal RNA
Source: RNAcentral